Molecule: long non-coding RNA, 2062 nt
Organism: Anopheles merus
Lineage: Eukaryota; Metazoa; Arthropoda; Insecta; Diptera; Culicidae
Exons: 4
Source: RefSeq, a predicted model, not a curated record
UAUCCACACGAGGAAGGCGCUGCUUCGCGUUCUCAUGAAAAAGUGGUAGUGUUAAAUCAAGUUUGCAAGCAGAAGGACGCGUCGAUGCGUGCUCGUUUUUUUUCUCUCGUGAAACCACUACGGAAAAACUAUUUGAAAUCGUAACACAUGCACGAACUGAAGUGAGCACGGACCACGAUAGAAACAAUAUUCAAUUGGUUGGAGUGCCGAAAACAACAGAACAGGAGAGGAAAGAAGGCCGCUUUAGAUGUAGUGCUUGCUGUUCUGAUUACCUCUGGCCAUUUAGAAAAUGCGUCGACUGCAAUUAGAUAAGAGUACCCGUCGAUGGGACCCGCAUAAUCGACAUGGAUGCGUUGCCAUGGUGCGGUUACCUCAGGCCAUGGUUCCGGGCUAGAAUGUAGCGGCGAUUUUGCUGCGAAUGAGCAUGCAUUACAGUUUGCCACGAGACCAGUAAUAUCGCUAUCAAUCUUGGACCAGUACACGUAGCUUCUUGCCAAUGAUUUCAUCCUUUGUACUCCUGGAUGUCCGUUGUGUAAUUGGCAUGUCAUCACACAAUCUUAAAAAAGGGUAACCGGAAGUCAUGGACCAACCAGCCACUGGAGAAAGCAUACAAAUCUGCGAAGAACGGAUUUUCUGUUAAAAAGCAGCCAUUCAUUAUGCUGUUACUCGCACGACGCUGAUGAUGCACCUCACGACUAGAUACAGGAGAUUUCAGGGGUUUUCCUAAUUUUGGCAAACUCUCUUGAAUAUGUUAUACGGCAAAUGUACUUUAUGUGACAAUAAAACUAAGGAGCAACGAUCGGACUGCAGAAACGACGCCACUUCAACCAUCAGUGCCAGUGUGGGAACCCAGUCACCAGGGCGGAAUGAAGGCAGAGGCCCGAAACCAAAAUGCAAAAUGCCAAUGUACAGGCGAUGUGUGAUUGGGUAACCUUAAAAUUGCUAAAGGGGACAAAAGUUAUCAGUUCUGUUCAAAAAUUGGGAUCGCCCACUAAAUCUACACCGUUAAAUUCGACACGACCGCAACUUCAUGAGAAAUGAAUAACAAAAGACGAGUGCAAGAUAGAACGAAUAGGCACACCAUACCCGAAAUGUGCAAGAACUGAUAUCGGUGAACGUUAGUAUUGCACCAGUGCGAAUGAGAAGUAUAGUACAUAUAUUGCGUACCAUAUGUGAGAAACGAAAAAUGUUGUCCUUACACAUUGGUGUGAUGUUGAUGGCCUGUGGUAAGUUGGGAAUUUUAAAUGCAGAUACAUAAUUAAUAUCAAUUGAUCAAAAACUAAUAUAAACCUUGUCAAUUUUUAACAAUGCAUAAGCAGGUACAGGUUUUUGAAGGAAACAAGACAUAAGUAAUUGCAGUACCCUUUCACUAGUUCGCACUUGACUAAAAGAGGAUUACAGCAUGUGUAAAAAACUUAUAUUAAAAAAAUGAUUGACAUUUAUCCUGCUUUCACCCGGAAAGAAAUGUCACCAAAGAUUAUUUUAUUUCAAAAAGGAACUAUCGAACUGCAUAUAUUUAUGUUCCAAGAUCCCUUACACACACGUUUAUUGUCUUACGUUGGCGUAAAUGUAAGAAAAGUUAUUUCUUAAAUAAUUUCCUUGUAUCACUUUUUGGUAUUAUAAACAUAAAAUAAUGAGAUACAAACCUGAAUAAAAAGAUCUCGAACACAGGAUUGUUUAGGCUUUACAACGCAACGAUUUUUAACUUAUUAAAUCAGGUGGAGCAGUUAAAACAGUUUGUAGCAACCUUGAUCCCAUAAUAAUUGGGAAUUAUUAUAGCUAGGUUGGGUUUAUAGAUUAUGAUAGUUUAGGGAUAGGAUUAGGGUAGUUUACAAGAAUUGAAGGAAGUAAGAAUAAAGCCCUUAUUUUGGUAACGACACAGCCAUGAGACUAAGCUCCGUGAACCCGCUACAUUCGAUUGUGGCAAAAGAGCGAAGCGGAAGCGAUAUUCGAAACCGCUCGCAUUGUCAGAGACCAAACCAAAUACAUAUGUAGCAUAUCUGCUAUACAGAACAUAUUGUAAUACACACUAUCAGCCAUAGACACAUAGCAACACACUUUG